RNAcentral lists this ribosomal RNA (570 nucleotides) under uncultured bacterium. RNAcentral's name for it is "partial 16S ribosomal RNA". It matches the Rfam family "Bacterial small subunit ribosomal RNA", at positions 355 to 920 of the family's 1533-position model. The record is from RNAcentral.
UGGGGAAUUUUGGACAAUGGGCGAAANCCUGAUCCAGCAAUGCCGCGUGUGUGAAGAAGGCCUUCGGGUUGUAAAGCACUUUUGUCCGGAAAGAAAUCCUUGGCUCUAAUACAGUCGGGGGAUGACGGUACCGGAAGAAUAAGCACCGGCUAACUACGUGCCAGCAGCCGCGGUAAUACGUAGGGUGCAAGCGUUAAUCGGAAUUACUGGGCGUAAAGCGUGCGCAGGCGGUUUGCUAAGACCGAUGUGAAAUCCCCGGGCUCAACCUGGGAACUGCAUUGGUGACUGGCAGGCUAGAGUAUGGCAGAGGGGGGUAGAAUUCCACGUGUAGCAGUGAAAUGCGUAGAGAUGUGGAGGAAUACCGAUGGCGAAGGCAGCCCCCUGGGCAAUACUGACGCUCAUGCACGAAAGCGUGGGGAGCAAACAGGAUUAGAUACCCUGGUAGUCCACGCCCUAAACGAUGUCAACUAGUUGUUGGGGAUUCAUUCCUUAGUAACGUAGCUAACGCGUGAAGUUGACCGCCUGGGGAGUACGGUCGCAAGAUUAAAACUCAAAUGAAUUGACGGGGUC